Salmo salar (Atlantic salmon) is the source of this 55-nucleotide non-coding RNA. The record is from Rfam. NCBI's taxonomy places the organism in Eukaryota, Metazoa, Chordata, Actinopteri, Salmoniformes, Salmonidae.
CUUAACCCUAAUUGCUAAGUCACUCUGGAUAAGAGUGUCUGCUAAAUGACAAAAC